Molecule: ribosomal RNA, 1929 nt
Filed under: metagenome
Description: bacterial LSU rRNA
Rfam family: Bacterial large subunit ribosomal RNA
Source: RNAcentral
UCAAGUGACUAAGUGUAUGUGGUGGAUGCCUUGGCGAUCACAGGCGAAGAAGGACGUAGUAGCUUGCGAUAAGCUGCGGGGAGCCGGCAAACGGGCUUUGAUCCGCAGAUUUCCGAAUGGGGGAACCCACCGACGUAAGUCGGUAUCACACACUGAAUACAUAGGUGUGUGAGGCGAACGGAGCGAACUGAAACAUCUAAGUAGCUCCAGGAAAAGAAAUCAACCGAGAUUGCGAAAGUAGCGGCGAGCGAAAUCGCAGCAGCCCAGUGUUCUGAUAGCACGAACGACAGCAGAAGGGUCUGGAAAGGCCUGCUAUAGAGGGUGAUAGCCCCGUAUGCGAAAUCGAACGUGUGGUACUAAGGAACCGAUAAGUAGGGCGGGACACGUGACAUCCUGUCUGAAGAUGGGGGGACCAUCCUCCAAGGCUAAAUACUCGUGAUCGACCGAUAGUGAACCAGUACUGUGAAGGAAAGGCGAAAAGAACCCCGGGAGGGGAGUGAAAUAGAACCUGAAACCGCAUACAUACAAACAGUAGGAGCCCGUGUAGUCGGGUGACUGCGUACCUUUUGCAUAAUGGGUCAGCGACUUACGUUUUGUGGCGAGCUUAACCGAGUAGGGGAGGCGUAGCGAAAGCGAGUUCGAAUAGAGCGAGAAGUCUCAAGGCGUAGACCCGAAACCAGAUGAGCUAUCCAUGGCCAGGUUGAAGGUGUGGUAACACACACUGGAGGACCGAACCGACUAGUGUUGCAAAAUUAGCGGAUGAGCUGUGGAUAGGGGUGAAAGGCUUAACAAAUCUGGAGAUAGCUGGUUCUCCCCGAAAACUAUUGAGGUAGUGCCUCGUGUAUUGCUCCAGGGGGUAGAGCACUGUUAUGGCUAGGGGGACAUGGCGUCUUACCAAACCAUGGCAAACUCCGAAUACUUGGAAGUAAGAGCACGGGAGACAGAGCACCGGGUGCUAACGUCCGGACUCAAGAGGGAAACAACCCAGACCGCCGUUUAAGGUCCCAAAUAUUGACUAAGUGGAAAACGAAGUGUGAAGGCUAAGACAGUCAGGAAGUUGGCUUAGAAGCAGCCAUCCUUCAAAGAAAGCGUAAUAGCUCACUGAUCGAGUCCUCAUGCGCGGAAGAUGUAACGGGGCUAAGUCAAUAACCGAAAGCGCGGAUUUGUACGGAAGUACAAGUGGUAGGGGAGCGUUCUGUAAGCCUGCGAAGGUGGUUCGAGAGGACUGCUGGAGGUAUCAGAAGUGCGAAUGCUGACAUGAGUAACGUUAAAGCGGGUGAAAAGCCCGCUCGCCGUAAGCCCAAGGUUUCCUGCUCUACGUUCAUCGGAGCAGGGUGAGUCGGCCCCUAAGGCCAGGCUGAGAAGCGUAGUCGAUGGGAAGCAGAUUAAUAUUUCUGCACCAUGUGCAAGUGCGAUGGGGGGACGGAGUGCGAAAGAUCAUCCGGGUGUUGGAUGUCCCGGUUUGUGAGUGUAGAAGGCCGACAGGCAAAUCCGUCGGCAGAUCUUCGAGACAAAGCAUCGAGGUUCUACGGAACCGAAGUGAUCGGAAGUGCUUCCAGGAAAAGCCUCUAAGCUCCAGCUUGCAUGUGACCGUACCGUAAACCGACACUGGUGGGCGAGUUGAAUAUACUCAGGCGCUUGAGAGAACUCGGGAGAAGGAACUCGGCAAAUUGACACCGUAACUUCGGGAUAAGGUGUGCCUUUGUAGCGUGAAGAGAGAAACACUCGGAGCGUGAAGAGGCCUCAGAGAAUCGGUGGCUGCAACUGUUUAUUAAAAACACAGCACUCUGCAAAGACGAAAGUCGACGUAUAGGGUGUGAUGCCUGCCCGGUGCUGGAAGAUUAAGUGAUGGGGUGAGAGCUCCUGAUCGAAGUCCCAGUAAACGGCGGCCGUAACUAUAACGGUCCUAAGGUAGCGAAAUUCCUUGUC